AGCGAACGCUGGCGGCAGGCUUAACACAUGCAAGUCGAGCGGACCUUUCGGGGUCAGCGGCGGACGGGCGAGUAACGCGUGGGAACGUGCCUUCCGGUUCGGAAUAACCCUGGGAAACUAGGGCUAAUACCGGAUACGCCCUUAUGGGGAAAGGUUUACUGCCGGAAGAUCGGCCCGCGCCUGAUUAGCUAGUUGGUGGGGUAACGGCCUACCAAGGCGACGAUCAGUAGCUGGUCUGAGAGGAUGAUCAGCCACACUGGGACUGAGACACGGCCCAGACUCCUACGGGAGGCAGCAGUGGGGAAUAUUGGACAAUGGGCGCAAGCCUGAUCCAGCCAUGCCGCGUGAGUGAUGAAGGCCUUAGGGUUGUAAAGCUCUUUUAUCCGGGACGAUAAUGACGGUACCGGAGGAAUAAGCCCCGGCUAACUUCGUG
This 433-nucleotide ribosomal RNA is filed under the name uncultured bacterium. RNAcentral describes it as "partial 16S ribosomal RNA". It matches the Rfam family "Bacterial small subunit ribosomal RNA", at positions 29 to 507 of the family's 1533-position model. The record is from RNAcentral.